UUGUGGGAGGGGCAAAGUGUGAUCAGAGCAUAUUAUAUGAAAACAAUUCAGUGAAUAAAGAAGACAAAAAGGGAGGGGAAUAGGUUUAGCUAGACAUGGUUGUGACCUGUAAUUGUAGCACUCAGGAGGCAAAGGCAGGGGAUUACGAGUUUAAGGCCAGGCCUGGCUAUGCGAUGAGAAUUGUCUCAAAAACAAGAUAUAACAGGAAAAAUGCAGCUUCAUUGCAGCUCAUUGUCUGGAGGUACAAGAUGGGGGGUACAUGGUGGUGCCCUUCUUGCUGGGAGGCCAUGCAGGUUACUGUGCAGCAGGAGACCAUGUGUCUGUGUUUUCUCCCUGUUAUAAAGUUAGUGGUAGUCAGUCACAAGAUCUCAACUGUAAUGACUUUGCCUGAUCCUAAUCCCCUCCCUCGUACCCUGCCUGUGAAUGGGUAGGUGGAUUAAGUUUCCUCAUAGUAAAGUAAAGCCUCAUAGCAGGGAUUAAAUUUCAGCACAGGAAAACGUGGAGGACGCACUUAAACCUUCAGCAGCCUCUCCUUCCUGUCAUGCCAGGAGGUUGGUGGGUGAAGUCAGCCUGUGAGGGAAGCCUCCUGAGCAGACUGCAGAGUGGGUGGGUCAGGGAGCAGUUCUUUCCCAAGCCCUAGAUAAUGGCGUACAAUAGGGAGGUUCCGGGGGAAGACAGAAAACACUCGAGACAGCAGUAAAAACCCAGAGGGUGCUGUUUCUCCCACCUGUGCGUGAUUUACUCCCACAGUCUGACGGUAGUGUCUCCUCCUCAGGGGCUUUUUGGACCUGCACCUCCUGUGGUUGAGGCAGCAGGGACGUCAGCAAGGAAGGAGCUUGGCUUUGGUGGGCAGUACAGUUGAAACUUGGUUGGAGUUGGCAUACAGUUAAAAGCUGAAGCCUGUUGCAGAAUAUUCCCUUACACUAUGUAAAGAAGUGUCACUACGAGUCAUUUAAUAAAGAACUGAAUGGCCAUUAGCUAGGCAGAAAGAGGUUAGGCAGGACUUCUGGGGACAGAGAAGAUUCAGAGAGGAAGGAAGGCAGGUCACCAGAUAGAUGUAGAGGAAGCAGGAUGGGCAGUACAGAGUGAAGGUAACUGAGUCACGUAAAAGAGCAUAGAUUAAAAAAUAUGGGUAAAUUUAAGUUAUAAGAACUAGUUAUGAACAAACCUAAGCCAAGGCCGGCUUUCACAGUUAAUAAAAAGUCUUGUGUGGUUAUUUGGGAGCUGGCAGGUGGGACGAGAAAGACUGGCUACAGAAGCCCCAAGGCUUGAUCUAGGUGACUUUUGGGGCCACACUGAAGUUAAGAACUAGACCUUAGGUAUUAUCUAGAAAGGGGCACAUGCACUCCACAAAUGAGCUCCCCCAUUCCAAAGGGUCAGGGCUGAGGAUGGGGAAAGAGAGGAAACGGAGGACAUUCGUUACAGUUACACAGGACCACCUAAGAAACUCAGCUGCCCGCGCACUGAAGAGCUCAUGAAAUAGCUUGUGUAGGACCCAGAACCCUUCAUGAGUCUAGAGCAUGACGCUCACAAUGAACAGAAGCAGAAGGGGGACUUCACAGAGGAAGGACAUAGGCAGCUCAGUGUGGCGAGCCACGCUGUGGAAGGAGGGGAGCUGUACCCCCUUUGCAAGGGAAAACCAUUUGUCCUCAGGCACCAAGGGACCAAGUAUCAAAAUAGAGGGUAUGGUAACAGCAGGUGCUAGAAAUCCUUUGAAAGUCCUGCUUUUAGGUGGGAGACCUCCCAGAAGCUCAUCUGGCGGAGGCCCACAUUAAUUCAAGCAUGGAUGUCAUACCUUCGAGUGAGCAGCAGUGUGCCAGGCAGGUCCCUGCCUCUGGGCCCUUCAUGGUUUGUGGCCAACACUCCCCUCUUCUUCCAUUUAUCAAACUUUCCUGCUACAAGAUGUUUCACAUCUAGAGGAAGUGUGAGAAGUCCCUCCUCCCCCAUCUAGACCCCACUGGGUCCCCAGCUGUGUGG
Long non-coding RNA from Peromyscus leucopus (white-footed mouse), 1977 nucleotides. RefSeq lists it as uncharacterized. Lineage: Eukaryota; Metazoa; Chordata; Mammalia; Rodentia; Cricetidae. The record is from RefSeq and is a predicted model, not a curated record. The transcript has 2 exons.